RNAcentral lists this long non-coding RNA (287 nucleotides) under Elaeis guineensis (African oil palm). Its description in RNAcentral is "long non-coding RNA (EGUI_LNC030129)". The record is from RNAcentral. Lineage: Eukaryota; Viridiplantae; Streptophyta; Magnoliopsida; Arecales; Arecaceae.
AAGAUCCAUAGCACUUGCAGAGGCUCUAUUUCACAUGUCAAGAAGAACUUCCUUUUUUGAACAUGGCUUGGCCAGGACUAGCAACAUGGAAUUCUUACAACUAAAAACUCAAUACAGCUUAUGUGGAAGUCUAUUUUGAGCUGACAUGUAUAGGCGGCCAGAGAUAGUAGUAUUAUUACCAGGCUUUAAUGUCAAGCUGUUUAUGUAACUUGUUCUAAUUGGAAGUAAUAAUAACAUAGAAAUCUUACAAGAAGUCUGCUCUCAAGAGAAACUGCACAGGUGGCCAC